AUUUCCCAGGUCGGAAACCUGAGAGCCCACACUGACCCGAGAGGGUCUCGGAAGGACAAGCGGGCGGCAGUCAGAGCCACUCAGCGCUGAAAGAUCUCAUCAGUCAGGAUCUGAGGAAAGGCGGUGUCCCCAGGAGGGGUGUGUGCGGCCAAGCGCCAUGCGAGGGACAGUCGGGGCGCUGUGGCCAAGGAGACCUGGGGUGAGUCCCUCUCCUCUGGCUCUAGGACCCCCGAAAGUCUUUUCACUCUCUGAACCUCAGUGUCCUUCCUAUGAAACCAGACAAUGAGCGCAUGUGCUUACAGGGUCCCCGCGAGGACCGGGAUCAAUCCUGCACCGCGCCAGACACAGGGAGACUUCUUGCUCUCCAGGGCGCCACAGUGAUAUCUGCAUGUGAUACUCAGUACCAAGAGCCUGCCACUUCCCGGCCACAGCCCUGGGAGCUGCAGAGUCCCCCGUUUGAUGAUUUGCUCUCACUGCCCAGAGGAGAAGGCUGAGUGAGCCCCGCUGCUGAAGGGGCUCUCAGCUCCCACCUGCCAAGCUGCCCAGUUGAGGGUCCAGGUGGAGGGGGAGCCCCACCCGAGGGAAAUCCCACCACCAGGGCAGAGUCCAUGGUCCAGGGAAGGCAGAGUCCAUGGCCCUGGACAGGACGGCUCUGGCAGGGAGGGCACCUCCGCCUGGAUUUCAGCCCAUAUCCAGUGUCUCCAGAAGCCACCGUCCUAAUCCGGAGGCCCCAAGGAAGCAGCGAUUUCCUGGGAGAAAACAGGUUCCCACAGGUUUUACCUUCCUCCUGUCAGACUUCCAGGUACCGAGGGACUGUCCCCACCCACACAUACACAAGGGAGGCCAGGGCUGCACAGACUCAGAGGGGAGGGGCCGCAAGACACCUCUGCCCCCACACUCUUGUUUGUAGCCCACAUAGGGCAGGGACUUCAGCAGGUCCCUGAGAGGAGGGUGGCAGAAGCACAGCCAAGGUGCAGGCCUCCCAGCUCCCAGGCCGGGCUAAGCACCCAAUCCAGUUUCUCCCAGACAGGACAGUUCUCCAAGCCCCACUCCUGAGCCACCCCUGGGCCCCUUCUAAAGACCACCACCAUGGAACAAUGAAAAGAAAGAGCCUGAGUCUCCAGCUCAGUGAGACUAAUUCCUGUGUGAUUUGGGUGAGAUCCUCCCGUCUCUGGGCCUCAGUUUCCACACUGAUAAAAACGAGGCAUUUGGAUUCCUUUUUUUUUUUGGUUAGUACCAGAGAUUGAACUCAGGGACACUCAACCACUGAGCCACAUCCCCAGUCCUAUCCUGUAUUUUAUUAGAGUCAGGGUCUUGCUGAGCUGCUUAACACUUCGCUUUUGCUGAGGCUGUCUUUGAAUUCUCCAUCCUCCUGCCUCAGCCUCCUCAGCAGCUGGGAUUACAGGCGUGCACCACCGCGCCUGGCUGGAUUCCAUUUUUAAGAACUCUUCUGGCUCCAUUGUUCUGGGAGCCCAAGGUGCCCUUAUCCUACCCCCAAGUUUCUCCGAUCUCUCCAGAAUCUGAGAAUCCAGACAGAAGAAAGAUUUGGACGAGGCUUAGAUGGGCAUGAGGGUAGGGACUCUGACCAUUUCCACCCUCUGCUAAGCCAAGAAGCCAGGCCUGCAGGCCAGGUGGCGAUCACAGGAAAAAGCCAUCCCCUACACAGGAAGGGAGGAGUUGCCCCUGGGGGAGGAACAGAUUCAGAAUCCAGAACUCAGAACCCAGUUAGGGCUUCAACUCCCCUCCUUCUUCCCAACCUACCUGACUCCACUCCCAGAAGUCGGUGGCACUGAUUCAACCUGGCCAGGGAGCUGAUUGUCCAGUGGAGACUCAGAGCUUGGCGUAGAGGGCAGGGAAGAGACAGGGUAGAAGAAAUGUCCUCAGCUUGGUCUCCUGAGUCUACAGCCAGGGGACUUCUGGUGAUG
RNAcentral lists this long non-coding RNA (1925 nucleotides) under Marmota monax (woodchuck). The record is from RNAcentral. Lineage: Eukaryota; Metazoa; Chordata; Mammalia; Rodentia; Sciuridae.